UUUCCGUAGGUGAACCUGCGGAAGGAUCAUUCACAAUUAAUUGUAUACAGGCUCUUUCUAUAAAUCCAUCUCCACCCCGAGUGCAAUGUUAGAUACCGUCAAUCUUUGCGAGUUUAUGAUAUAUAAACUUAUACUUUAACAAAUUAGUCUGAAAAACAACAUGUAUACAUAAUUCAAUAUACAAUUUCCAACAACGGAAAUCUUGCAUAUCGCAACGAUGAAGAACGCAGCAGAACGCAAGAGAACACGUCUGAACUCCCGUCACCAGUCGUCAACUAG
This 279-nucleotide unclassified non-coding RNA is filed under the name plant metagenome. RNAcentral describes it as "partial contains small subunit ribosomal RNA, internal transcribed spacer 1, and 5.8S ribosomal RNA". The record is from RNAcentral.